CCUACGGGAGGCAGCAGUGGGGAAUAUUGCACAAUGGGGGAAACCCUGAUGCAGCAACGCCGCGUGAGUGAAGAAGUAUUUCGGUAUGGAAAACUCUAUCAGCAGGGAAGAAGAAAGACGGUACCUGACUAAGAAGCCACGGCUAACUACGUGCCAGCAGCCGCGGGAAUACGUAGGGGCCAAGCGUGAUCCGGAUUUACUGGGGGUAACGGGAGCGUAGACGGCUGGGCAAGUCUGAGGUGAAAGCCCGUGGCUCAACCGCGGAACUGCUUUGGAAACUGUAUAGCUGGAGUACUGGAGAGGCAGGCGGAAUUCCUAGUGUAGCGGUGAAAUGCGUAGAUAUUAGGAGGAACACCAGUGGCGAAGGCGGCCUGCUGGACAGAAACUGACGUUGAGGCUCGAAAGCGUGGGGAGCAAACAGGAUUAGAUACCCGAGUAGUC
Molecule: ribosomal RNA, 441 nt
Filed under: uncultured bacterium
Lineage: Bacteria
Description: partial 16S ribosomal RNA
Rfam family: Bacterial small subunit ribosomal RNA
Source: RNAcentral